This 459-nucleotide ribosomal RNA is filed under the name uncultured bacterium. RNAcentral describes it as "bacterial SSU rRNA". It matches the Rfam family "Bacterial small subunit ribosomal RNA", at positions 29 to 507 of the family's 1533-position model. The record is from RNAcentral.
AUUGAACGCUGGCGGAAUGCUUUACACAUGCAAGUCGAGCGGCAGCGCGGGGCAACCUGGCGGCGAGCGGCGAACGGGUGAGUAACACAUCGGAACGUGCCCAGACGUGGGGGAUAGCCCGGCGAAAGCCGGAUUAAUACCGCAUACGAUCUAAGGAUGAAAGCGGGGGACUCGCAAGGGCCUCGCGCGUUUGGAGCGGCCGAUGGCAGAUUAGGUAGUUGGUGGGGUAAAGGCUUACCAAGCCUGCGAUCUGUAGCUGGUCUGAGAGGAUGACCAGCCACACUGGGACUGAGACACGGCCCAGACUCCUACGGGAGGCAGCAGUGGGGAAUCUUGGACAAUGGGCGCAAGCCUGAUCCAGCCAUGCCGCGUGAGUGACGAAGGUCUUCGGAUUGUAAAGCUCUUUUGCCAGGGACGAUAAUGACGGUACCUGGAGAAUAAGCCCCGGCUAACUUCGUG